GUAGGUGAACCUGCGGAAGGAUCAUUAUUGAAUAUUCUUGAUGGGUUGUAGCUGGCUCUCCGGGGCAUGUGCACACUUGUCUUGACUUUAUUCGUCCACCUGUGCACCUUUUGUAGUCUUGGGGGUUGAGAGCAAGUCGACUAUCGGAUGGCUAUGGCCUUUCCGGACGUGAGGAUUGCUGAGUGCGAAAGCAUACAGCUCUUCUCAAAUGACUUGUAAAACCUCUCCCUCGAGUACUAUGUAUUCAUAUACCACAUAGUAUGUUGUAGAAUGUGAUCAAUGGGCCUAUGUGCCUAUAAUAAUAAUAUACAACUUUCAGCAACGGAUCUCUUGGCUCUC
This 339-nucleotide unclassified non-coding RNA is filed under the name rhizosphere metagenome. RNAcentral's name for it is "partial ribosomal RNA internal transcribed spacer region". The record is from RNAcentral.